UAAAUAAUUUAAUAACAUCCUUAAACUUAUAUCAUGUGUGGCAACCCUGGCAGUUUGGCGCCCCUAUUCGUGUUUUUGUUUCUCACCGCCCGACAGUUGUUUUUGAUUUUUCGCCGUGCUCGCUUUAUCGGACGCUCGCCAGCUUUUUGGGGGCCUGUUUUGUAUUAUUAUUUUAUGUUGUAUGCGCAGCACACUUGAUGGCAAUUGUUGUCAUUGUUUUUGUUGCCGUUGCCGCUGGCUGCCCCACACUGUUGUUUUAGUCUUGUGGAAUCGGAUGCUCGGUGGUCUGGGUCCUGUCGGAACGCUGGCCGGCGAUGUGGCAACCCUAGGCAAAUGAACUGUUUUUACCUGCAGAAACACAACAAAAAAAACAACAAAACAAAAUCGCCUCACAACGGAUAAUUUAGUGGAAUUUUCAAAAAUAGCAAAGCUAGCAGAGAAGGAACAGCCGCAGCAGCAGCAGCAAUAAUCCCCCAGCGAGAGCACAGACCAGGCACAAUAAUCAAAGAUUAAAUCAGGUUUAUAUGGAAAGGGUUAGCACGGCGCAGGAAGGAAUACACGUUUCCUAGCUAAAGCAACAACAACAACAACAACACACCUACAACUGAUUACACACACACAGAUACACUCACACGAACGAGAGCCGAGAGAGAAAGAGAGAGCACGGACGAAGCAACACGAAGAGAAGACGACGUUCGCAGCGUAAAGUUGGUUGCUCGCUGAGGCACUUUUCUCAUUUUCUUUUCGGACGUCGUGCGGAGCGGCGGUGAAAACUCUCGGCGGCAAAAACACAAGAUAAGAUUUUCCGAUUUUCCGUAUGUUAGCAGCACCAGCACCAGCGGCAUUCGGCAUUUGUUUUGAAAGUAAAGCGAACGAAAAAAAAAAAAAUAAAACAGAGACGGCAGAGAAAAACCGCGCCUCUCUCGCCUCACAUAACUGUGUCUGUGUCUCUGCGUGCGUGUGUGUAUGUGUAUGUGUAAGUGGGCGCGAACGUGAGCCGCAAAAGGAAGUGAAAAUAGUGCAAAAAGGCCAAGUAAUAAUAAUAAUAAUAAAAUAGGCAAAAAGACAGGCCCGCAAAGCAAGAAAGACCAGACCAGUUUCAAAAAGCCUAGCUAUAGCUACUAGCGCCUAUUUGCAGGGCCCGUGUCUGUGUGAUGUCUGUGUGUGUGCCGAGAAGGUGAAGGUGUAUGUGUGAGCCCCAACAACAACAACAAAAACAACUAGAAUCGACCACAUACGGGGAAAAGGAGCAGCGAAAGGCAGCAGCAACAGCAGCAGCGGCAGGCAGGCAG
This 1292-nucleotide small RNA is filed under the name Drosophila ananassae. RNAcentral's name for it is "GF26395". Lineage: Eukaryota; Metazoa; Arthropoda; Insecta; Diptera; Drosophilidae. The record is from RNAcentral.